ACCAGGUAUGGUGGUGCAUGCCUGCAAUCCCAGUGACGUAGGAGGCUGAGGCAGGAGGAUCACAAGUUCAAAGCCAGCCUCAGCAACUUAGUGAGGCCCUUAGCAACUCAGUGAGACCCUGUCUCUA
This 127-nucleotide small RNA is filed under the name Marmota monax (woodchuck). Lineage: Eukaryota; Metazoa; Chordata; Mammalia; Rodentia; Sciuridae. The record is from RNAcentral.